RNAcentral lists this ribosomal RNA (490 nucleotides) under uncultured bacterium. RNAcentral describes it as "partial 16S ribosomal RNA". It matches the Rfam family "Bacterial small subunit ribosomal RNA", at positions 30 to 507 of the family's 1533-position model. The record is from RNAcentral.
AUUGAACGCUGGCGGCAGGCCUAACACAUGCAAGUCGAACGGUAACAGGAAGAAGCUUGCUUCUUUGCUGACGAGUGGCGGACGGGUGAGUAAUGUCUGGGAAACUGCCUGAUGGAGGGGGAUAACUACUGGAAACGGUAGCUAAUACCGCAUAACGUCGCAAGACCAAAAAGGGGGGCCUUCGGGCCUCUUGCCAUCGGAUGUGCCCAGAUGGGAUUAGCUAGUAGGUGGGGUAACGGCUCACCUAGGCGACGAUCCCUAGCUGGUCUGAGAGGAUGACCAGCCACACUGGAACUGAGACACGGUCCAGACUCCUACGGGAGGCAGCAGUGGGGAAUAUUGCACAAUGGGCGCAAGCCUGAUGCAGCCAUGCCGCGUGUAUGAAGAAGGCCUUCGGGUUGUAAAGUACUUUCAGCGGGGAGGAAGGGAGUAAAGUUAAUACCUUUGCUCAUUGACGCUACCCGCAGAAGAAGCACCGGCUAACUCCGUG